Molecule: ribosomal RNA, 523 nt
Filed under: uncultured bacterium
Lineage: Bacteria
Description: bacterial SSU rRNA
Rfam family: Bacterial small subunit ribosomal RNA
Source: RNAcentral
GGGGAAUAUUGCACAAUGGGGGAAACCCUGAUGCAGCGACGCCGCGUGAGUGAAGAAGUAUUUCGGUAUGUAAAGCUCUAUCAGCAGGGAAGAUAAUGACAGUACCUGACUAAGAAGCCCCGGCUAACUACGUGCCAGCAGCCGCGGUAAUACGUAGGGGGCAAGCGUUAUCCGGAUUUACUGGGUGUAAAGGGAGCGUAGACGGAGUGGCAAGUCUGAAGUGAAAACCCUGGGCUCAACCCUGGGACUGCUUUGGAAACUGUUAAUCUAGAGUGUUGGAGAGGUAAGUGGAAUUCCUGGUGUAGCGGUGAAAUGCGUAGAUAUCAGGAAGAACACCGGAGGCGAAGGCGGCUUACUGGACAAUAACUGACGUUGAGGCUCGAAAGCGUGGGGAUCAAACAGGAUUAGAUACCCUGGUAGUCCACGCUGUAAACGAUGAAUACUAGGUGUCGGGGAGCAAAGCUUCUCGGUGCCGUCGCAAACGCAAUAAGUAUUCCACCUGGGGAGUACGUUCGCAAGAAUG